UGGGGAAUCUUGGACAAUGGGGGCAACCCUGAUCCAGCCAUGCCGCGUGGGUGAUGAAGGCCUUAGGGUCGUAAAGCUCUUUUGGCGGGGAUGAUAAUGACCGUACCCGCAGAAUAAGCCACGGCUAAAUUCGUGCCAGCAGCCGCGGUAAUACGAAUGUGGCAAGCGUUGUUCGGAAUCACUGGGCGUAAAGAGUACGUAGGCGGCUUGACAAGUCAGGAGUGAAAUCCCCCGGGGNUCAACCUGGGAAUUGCUUUUGAAACUGUCUCGCUAGAAACUCGGAGAGGUUGGCGGAAAUUCCAAGUGUAGAGGUGAAAUUCGCAGAUAUUUGGAGGAACACCAGUGGCGUAAGCGGCCAACUGGACGAGUAUUGACGCUGAGGUACGAAAGCGUGGGGAUCAAACAGGAUUAGAUACCCUGGUAGUCCACGCCAUAAACGAUGUGUGCUAGUUGGUGGGUAGCUUAGCUAUUUCACUGACGCAGCUAAACGCAUUAAGCACACCGCCUGGGAAGUACGGCCGCAAGGUUAAAACUCAAAUGAAUUGACGGGGUCAUAGCUGUUUCCUG
This 567-nucleotide ribosomal RNA is filed under the name uncultured bacterium. RNAcentral's name for it is "partial 16S ribosomal RNA". It matches the Rfam family "Bacterial small subunit ribosomal RNA", at positions 355 to 1376 of the family's 1533-position model. The record is from RNAcentral.